AGAGUUUGAUCAUGGCUCAGGAUGAACGCUAGCGACAGGCUUAACACAUGCAAGUCGAGGGGUAACAGGGGAAGCUUGCUUCCCGCUGACGACCGGCGCACGGGUGCGUAACGCGUAUACAAUCUACCUAUUACAGGGGGAUAGCCCAGAGAAAUUUGGAUUAAUACCCCAUAGUAUUAUUUAUUGGCAUCAUUAGAUAAUUAAAGCUUCGGCGGUAAUAGAUGAGUAUGCGUCCUAUUAGUUAGUUGGUAAGGUAAUGGCUUACCAAGACAUCGAUAGGUAGGGGUCCUGAGAGGGAGAUCCCCCACACUGGUACUGAGACACGGACCAGACUCCUACGGGAGGCAGCAGUGAGGAAUAUUGGGCAAUGGACGAGAGUCUGACCCAGCCAUGUCGCGUGCAGGAAGACGGCUUUAUGAGUUGUAAACUGCUUUUAUAUAGGAAGAAACCCCUAGACGUGUUUAGGGCUGACGGUACUAUAUGAAUAAAGACCGGCUAACUCCGUGCCAGCAGCCGCGGUAAUACGGAGGGUCUAAGCGUUAUCCGGAAUCAUUGGGUUUAAAGGGUCCGUAGGCGGGCUAAUAAGUCAGAGGUGAAAUCCCACAGCUUAACUGUGGCACUGCCUUUGAUACUGUUAGUCUUGAGUCAUAAUGAAGUAGAUGGAAUGUGUAGUGUAGCGGUGAAAUGCAUAGAUAUUACACAGAACACCGAUUGCGAAGGCAGUCUACUAAUUAUGUACUGACGCUGAUGGACGAAAGCGUGGGUAGCGAACAGGAUUAGAUACCCUGGUAGUCCACGCCGUAAACGAUGGAUACUAGCUGUUGGAUUCAAUUAGUUGGAUUCAGUGGCCAAGCAAAAGUGAUAAGUUCCCACCU
RNAcentral lists this ribosomal RNA (875 nucleotides) under uncultured bacterium. RNAcentral describes it as "bacterial SSU rRNA". It matches the Rfam family "Bacterial small subunit ribosomal RNA", at positions 9 to 873 of the family's 1533-position model. The record is from RNAcentral.